UAAUACAAAUGUAAGACAAUAGACUCUCUCGGCGUAUGUUAAGCCAAGGUAGGCUAACGUUCACUGACUAUGGUAUGAUAGCGUAACACAGCACAGCAGCCUGUACGACGCUGAUGGCCACUCCGGCAACGGGUAUGCAACAGGCUAGCUCUCCUCUAACGUUUGGAAGCUUUCUCCCAACUCAAUUUCAACCUAUUCAUAAAGGGGAGAAACUUGAAGAAGAUGAAAAUAUUGAAUGCAAUAAUGUUCGUGAGGAAAACUCUUAAGGGUAAGAAUCAGUGAUUGCAAUGGCGAAACUUUCCCAACGACUUCAGUUUUCUGAUAUGAGUGCUUCUACAAGCUUAAAUCCAGAAGGCCCAGCUGCACAGACACCGCAAGUCCCUCCCUUUCCUACAGACAAGGCAUUAGGUAAAAGGAAUAUAUUAUCGUACAUUUCGCCCAGCCAGCGGGGUGGGAAGAAAGUGGUUAAGCUGACUACUGAGGAUAUUCAAACAGCUGAUGAACAGUGGUCGAAAACUCUUAUUGGGUAUGUUCUUGGAGACGCUCCAUACGGGAAAUCUAUGAAUAAUUUUGUAACCAGUAUUUGGAAUUUUGUGAAGAAACCCUAAAUUCUUUAUCAUGUUGAUGGUUAUUAUGUAUUUCAAUUUGCUUUAAUUAAAGAUAGAAAAGAGAUAAUGCCAGCAGGACCUUACACUUACCGCAAUAAGCAUUUCAUCCUGAAGCCUUGGGUAGUGAAUUUUGUAUUUGAUACUGAAUGCAUCACAACGGUUCCUAUAUGGGUAAAUUUACCUGGGUUGCCUGUGGGAUGUUGGACUGUUGAAGCACUAAGCAAAAUGGCUAGUGCAAUUGGUGAACCCCUCUAUACUGAUUGGUACACUGCGUAUUUAAAUAGGAUAUCUUAUGCUAGAGUAUUAGUAGAG
This 920-nucleotide long non-coding RNA is filed under the name Capsicum annuum. RNAcentral's name for it is "long non-coding RNA (CANN_LNC020860)". Lineage: Eukaryota; Viridiplantae; Streptophyta; Magnoliopsida; Solanales; Solanaceae. The record is from RNAcentral.